AUUGAACGCUGGCGGCAUGCCUUACACAUGCAAGUCGAACGGCAGCACGGUUGCUUGCAGCUGUUGUCGAGUGGCGAACGGGUGAGUAAUACAUGGGUACAUGUCCCGUAGUGUUGGAUAGCCCGCCGGAAGCCGGAGUAAUACCCCAAACGAACUACGUGUGACAGGGGGGGGGCUUGAGGCCUCGCGCUGUAGGGUUUGCCGGUGGCGGAUUAGUUGGUUGGUGGGGGAGAGGCGUACCCCGGCGACGAUCAGUAUCUGGUGCGAGAGGGGGACCAGCGACACUGAGGCUGAGACACGGCCCAGGCUCUUAGGGAAGGCAGCGGGGGGGACUUGAGGCAAAUGGGGGAAAGCUUGAACAAGCAACGCCGGGUGGGUGAAGAAGCCCUUCGGGUGGUAAGGCGCUUUUGUGGGGAAAAAAAGCCUUGGCCCUAAACCGGGCGGGGGUGACGGGAACCGGAAAAGAAGCCCCGGCUAACUUAGGG
Molecule: ribosomal RNA, 485 nt
Filed under: uncultured bacterium
Lineage: Bacteria
Description: partial 16S ribosomal RNA
Rfam family: Bacterial small subunit ribosomal RNA
Source: RNAcentral